Molecule: non-coding RNA, 71 nt
Organism: Heterocephalus glaber (naked mole-rat)
Lineage: Eukaryota; Metazoa; Chordata; Mammalia; Rodentia; Bathyergidae
Source: Rfam
GCAGAUGUAGCUUAGUGGUAGAGCAUUUGCCUCACAGGCUCAAGACCCUGGGUUCAAUCCCCAACACUGCA